CAGGAUAUGAUCCAGUUCACGGGCUUGAUUCUAACACUAAUUAAAAUGUGAUCCAGUUCACGGGCCUGAUUCUAACACUAACUAGCAUGUGAUUGAGUUCACGGGCCUGAUUCUAACACUAAUUAAAUGUGAUUGAGUUCACGGGCCUAAUUAUAACACUAAGUAAAAUGUGAUUGAGUUCACGGGCCUGAUUCUAACACUAAUUAGGAUAUGCUCCAGUUCAGGGGGCUGACUCUAACACUAAUUAGGAUGUGAUUAAGAUCACAGGCCUCUAAUUAGAAUUAUAGCAUUAUUAUUUAUUUCCACAAAUCACAUUUUCAUACAACUCUUUAUAGUGAAAUGUUACACACAUCUAUUUUGAUUUAAAUCGUAUCAUUGAUUAUUCAUCUAUAACUUAGACUUUUGAAAUAGUUUAUUAUACCCCCCGCAACAAGUUGUGGGGGGGGGGUAUACUGGAAUCGGGUUGUCCGUCUGUCUGUCCGUCCGUCCGUCUGUCCGUCCGUCUGUAGACGCAAUGGUUUCCGGGCUCUAAAGCAUUAUCCUUUCCACCUACCGUCACCAUAUCAUAUAUAUGAACUACCCAUGGGAUGAAGAUGUUCCCUAUCGAUUUUGGGGUCAAAAGGUCAAAGGUCACGCGCACUGGACAUCAAAGUAGCAAUAUGGUUUCCAUUUAAAUUCUUUAACGGCUUUUUUCAUCGCAUGGAGAUGCUGUGUUCCUAGAUACCUUUUGGAUCAUAAUAUUGAAGUUUUACCUAUAUAUUUCCAACACCCUUUAGGAGAUUGGGGUAAGCGGGGGGUAUUCUUAGUGAGCAUUGCUCACAGUACCUCUUGUUUUAACAGUUUUUUGUUUUUUUUUACAAUAACUAUCGGAAAAGACUAACAAAAUUUAUGUUCCUAUCAUGCAUAAAUCUAAAUAAAUCAUUGAUUUUGCAAAAUCUGAUGACAUCAUAGGAGGGUGGAAUUACUUUAAGUUAUGUUUAGUGCUGUGUGUAUAUAAACAUGCACUCAUAUAAUUAUAUCUUCCCUCUUCCAGGGGGAGACAUAUUGUAUUUGUACUUUCUGUCCGUCCUUCCUUCUGUCACAAAAUCUUGUGAACGCUUCUCCACCUAUAUGGCUUAUCAGAUAGACUUGAAACUUUGUACAAUGCUUCAUUGUCAUUUACAGAUGUGAAUAUUGUUGGGACGGGAGGAUCCAAUUGUUUUCCUAAGAGUUAUAGUGGAUCUAAGAGGGGUGGAAGAUGUAAAAUAGCUUAUGAACUCUUCUCCUCCCAUAUGGCUUAUUGGAUAGACUUGAAACUUUGUACAAUGCUUAAUUGUCAUUUGUAGAUGUGCAUAUUGUCGGAAUGGGAGGAUCCAAAGUUUUUCCUAAAAGAUAUAGUGGAUCUAAAAGGGGUGGAGGAUGUUAAAAUACCUUGUGAACACUUCUCCUAUAUGGCUUAUCUGAUAGACUUGAGAAUUUGUACAAUGCUUCAAUGCCAUUUGUAGAUGUGUAAGUUGUAGGGACAGGAGGAUCCAAUUGCUAUCCUUAAAGUUAAAGUGGAUCUGAGGGGUGUAGGGUAUAAAAUAGUUUGUGAACGCUUCUCCUCCUAUAUGGCUUAUCAGAGUUCAUGUCUAUCUUCCUGCCCAUGCUUUCUCCUUCAUACUAUUCAAUACAUUAAGGGGGAUGUUUCCUAUAUUUUACGAAUUAAUUGGUUGAUUGACAACAAACUUGGUACACUUGUACAGCAUAUAUAAGGAGUAGAUGACCCCUAUUGAUUCUUAGGUCACAUGGUCAGUCCACUCUUGACAUAGGAAGGUAUUGUCUGCUCAAUAUUUUGAAUUGGUGAUACUACUAUCAAUUAAAUGAGGCACGGGUAUAACCCUUUCAAUUUUGCAACUUGGGGGCAUAUGUGUUUUAGAAACAUCUCUUGUGUUGUAUUAUAUGAAUUACAGGUUUUAGUGUGCUCAGUUUAGAGAAUAGCAUAAAAGUAUUUGAUAAUUAAAUAUCUUGCAGAUUGGCAGUUUACUCCAUGCACCGACAGGAAUGAUAAACUGUGAUAUUCGUAAAUGAUUUUACCAAAUACAGAACACUGCAAGGCUUGCAAAAUGAAGACCUCAGUAAAAAAAAUUCUAAAUUAUCCACUAAUGGCAGCUCACUACCUGCCCCUAGUGAUGUUAAAAGAGGCCGUUGUUCUCAUUUGUUCCAAAACAGGAAUGGCAUAUGAGGAGGCCAACAGAAGAUGCACCUCCACUGACCUCCACUGAGUGUGCACUCACAAAACGAAUAAAUUAUUAUUAUUUCUUUUGUUUGUAAUUGUAUAUUGUCAACAAGGUCAAAGGCACUUGAUCCGAUGCCAAACUUUUGCAUUUCUUUUGCUUUGUGGUAAAUUUUCUUCAGCAACAUUAACAUUGUUUAAAUUGUUUUCUUUGGAGAGUAGACAUGUACACAUGGAUCAUUUGUAUAUUAGAAUUAUAGCAUUGUUUAAUUCAACUCAUUCUUAUCCUAGAGAGGUUAUUAUAUACUGCAGGCAACGACUUGUAAAGGGUAUACUGUUUUAACUCACGUGCAAGGCAAGGCAGUAUUAUGAAACUCUGUAGUUGAUAAGGACAUAUAUCACAUAUCGAUAUGCAUAUUUACAGGAAACUCUGAUGUAUUUUAAAUCUGAACGUUAAUUUAAAAGUGGGGAGAAAUAGCAUUGGAUGAAAAAAGACACAUAUGAAGAAAAUUAUUCCAUACGUAAAUACUUUUUAGCUCACCUGAGCUGAAAGCUCAAGUGAGCUUUUCUGAUCGCCUGUUGUUCAUUGUCUGUCCGUGAUUAAACAUUUUAUAUUUUCUCCAGAAGCAAUGGGCCAAUAAUAACCAAACUUAGCCAAAAGUAUCCUUGGGUAAAGGGCUUUCGAGUUUGUUCAAAUGAAGGGCCAUGCCCUCUUCAAAGGGGAGAUGACCACAAAAAUAGGGUGGGUCAUUUAAUUUUUUUUUAUCAAGAACCACUGGGCCAGAAGAGCUAAAAUGUACAUGAAAGCUUCUUGACAUAGUACAGAUUCAAGUUUAUUGAAAUCAUGGCCUCCAGGGGUUGUAUGGGGCCACAAUAGAGAAUCAAAGUUUUACAUACAAUUAUUCAGGAAAAAUCUUUCAAUAUGAGCCAAGGUGGCUCAGGUGAGCGAUGUGGCCCAUGGGCCUCUUGUUCAACAUAUAGAAUAAAUACAUGUAGUUAUGUUGUAUUUCCCAUGGAACAUUGAAACGUUUAAUGCGUUUACCAAUUAAUCACUGAAAGAAAGAUAAAAUUGUUGUUUCAUAUGUUUUAUGAAAACUUAAAAAAUGUUUCAUUUCUUUUCAUGAAAGACCCCUUAAUUACCCAGUAAUAUAUAAUCAAUUCUUAACAGAUUAUGUAAAUUUGAUUUAUAUUAAGGAUGUUUGAUCUGAUUACCCAUCAUUAUCAAUCUGUCUAAUAUAGCCAUCAUGUGUUACUAUUGCUACGCAAUCUUGGAGCAUGAGGUAGAAUGCGAGCCAGCUCUUUCAUAAGUACAUGCAUCUGGAAAAUAUAUUUCAAUGUCAAAGGUUACAACAAUGUGAUAAUGUAAUCAUUGUAUGUCUAAGGUCUUGAUAAUAAAACUGUUAUCUGUUCAACUUUUUCUUCUUAAUUAAAAUCAAGACUAAGUACCAGAGGAAAUUGUGGA
Long non-coding RNA from Ostrea edulis (European flat oyster), 3656 nucleotides. RefSeq lists it as uncharacterized. The record is from RefSeq and is a predicted model, not a curated record. The transcript is spliced from 3 exons. NCBI's taxonomy places the organism in Eukaryota, Metazoa, Mollusca, Bivalvia, Ostreida, Ostreidae.